This is a long non-coding RNA of Prosopis cineraria, 1349 nucleotides long. RefSeq lists it as uncharacterized. NCBI's taxonomy places the organism in Eukaryota, Viridiplantae, Streptophyta, Magnoliopsida, Fabales, Fabaceae. The transcript is spliced from 3 exons. The record is from RefSeq and is a predicted model, not a curated record.
GGCUCUGAUUUUUUUGUUCUUCCAAUCUUUUGCUCCACAUUCGUCCUUGUCUUUUUCUCGUCACCGUUUCCUGUGUGUUCGUUGCCAUCAUCUCCUCAUGCUGUUGUUGUGUAAGAGCUGAAUCUCUGGCGUGUUUGCUCUUGCUUCGUCCUCACUGGGAGUUUGCAAGAGGAGAAUUUUGAUUAAAGUUGAGAGAAGGAAUUUGAAUUUUGGAGAUUUCAGAAAUAGAAAUUUGGCAAGAAGAGGAAAGAACAGGGACAUACGUUGAAGAUGGAGGCAUUGCAGAGAAAAGACGGUGCUGUGUGAGAGGGGAACACGUGGCAAACCCGAAAGCUGUGUGACUUUGGCCUGAAUUUCAGGAUUGCGUUCACAGAUCCAUCUUUGGUAAAAAGAAAAGAGGGUCUUUGGACGAAGGAGAAUUUUGAGGGAGCCAGAGAGGGAGGACCCCAAAAAAAAAAAAAAAAAAAAAAAAAGAAAGAAAAGAAAGUCUAAAGUGAGAGAGCAUAAAACAGAGGGACACGGAAGGAGAGAUUGAAGGAGGAUCCCAGUUUGAAGCACGGAGCAGCACUCAGAGAGAGGCAGAGAAUGGCUGAGUAUUGGAAGGAGGAAGAGCAGAGCCUAAAAAGGAAAGAAUGAAGAAGGCAGAGAGGAAUGUAGCCAAGGAAAAGAUGAGACGUCCAAUUUGAACUUCAUAUAGGGUUGUUCCUGGUUUUAUAAAACCCAUUUAAUUUCAUCCUCGAUGAGAUUGUGGACUAGUACGUGUUUCUGCUUUUGGAAUGACAGGUGUGGGCACCAAUCUGUCAAGUGUUACUUGACUUUGCUGAAAGUCUGUUUUUUUAUCAUUGAAAUCUUGUUUGUUUUUGCUGCAAUUUAGGAUUUGUGACAUCAUGAAGGGAAGUUAAAUAUAUGCUUCUUGGUGGGUUGGAGUAUGGUCUUAUUUCGGAUAGAAUUUAAAUACAAACUGAUUAGUUGUUCAUUUUGGAUAUGCUAUUAGGAUGUUUGUAGGGUUCUGUAUGUUUGGUUUGCUGUCUAAAAGUUUCAUGAUUUUUGGAGCCCAGUUGCAUGAUUAAAUAUGCCAACGGGUCUUUAAACAGUAGCGUCUGUCAAUUUUUAGUGCCUAUUUCGUGGAUUUUUUUUAUACUGUUGCAGAGGUGACCUUAAUCCAAAAUUUUGUACCCAAGCUUCCCUGUAAGUCUUGUUUGAGGCAUAAAGUUUUCGUGAUUUUUAGAUUUUAUUUUCCUAGUUGAGUGUGCUGACUUUAUUGAUUUUUCUAUAGUUGUACUUGUUGGACCCUGAGAUGAAAUUGUGUACCUCCCUAUGUUUAGUUUGAUGUAUAAGGUUUUCAUGAU